RNAcentral lists this ribosomal RNA (934 nucleotides) under uncultured bacterium. Its description in RNAcentral is "bacterial SSU rRNA". It matches the Rfam family "Bacterial small subunit ribosomal RNA", at positions 8 to 916 of the family's 1533-position model. The record is from RNAcentral.
AGAGUUUGAUCCUGGCUCAGGACGAACGUGGCGGUGCGCUUUAUACAUGCAAGUCGUGCGCGAAAGGUCCCUUCGGGGACCGAGUAGAGCGGCGAACGGGUGCGUAACACGUGAGCAAUCUGCCCUGGAGUGGGGAAUAACCCCGAGAAAUCGGGGCUAAUACCGCAUGUCGCCGAGGGACCGCAUGAUCCCGCGGUGAAAGUCGGCCUCUGCUUGCAAGCUGGCGCUCCAGGAUGAGCUCGCGGCCUAUUAGCUAGUUGGUGAGGUAACGGCCCACCAAGGCUACGAUGGGUAGGGGGCGUGAGAGCGUGGCCCCCCACAUUGGGACUGAGAUACGGCCCAGACUCCUACGGGAGGCAGCAGUAGGGAAUCUUGCGCAAUGGGCGAAAGCCUGACGCAGCGACACCGCGUGAGGGAUGAAGGCCUUCGGGUUGUAAACCUCUGUCAGGGGGAAAGAAACUCCAGCUGGUGAAUAGUCGGCUGGACUGACGGUACCUCCAAAGGAAGCGCCGGCUAACUCCGUGCCAGCAGCCGCGGUAAGACGGAGGGCGCAAACGUUGUUCGGAAUCACUGGGCGUAAAGGGCGCGUAGGCGGGAUGCUAAGUCCGAGGUGAAAGCCCGGAGCUCAACUCCGGGAUUGCCUUGGAAACUGACAUCCUAGAGUGCAGGAGAGGAAGGCGGAAUUCCGGGUGUAGCGGUGGAAUGCGUAGAUAUCUGGAAGAACACCAGUGGCGAAGGCGGCCUUCUGGACUGACACUGACGCUGAGGCGCGAAAGCUGGGGGAGCAAACAGGAUUAGAUACCCUGGUAGUCCCAGCCGUAAACGAUGGGUACUAGGUGCUGGGCGUUUCGACACGUUCAGCGCCGCAGCUAACGCACUAAGUACCCCGCCUGGGGAGUACGGCCGCAAGGCUGAAACUCAAAUGAAUUGACGG